Vombatus ursinus (common wombat) is the source of this 463-nucleotide long non-coding RNA. RefSeq lists it as uncharacterized. Lineage: Eukaryota; Metazoa; Chordata; Mammalia; Diprotodontia; Vombatidae. The record is from RefSeq and is a predicted model, not a curated record. The transcript has 2 exons.
CAUCUGGAGAACGUGAUUGAUUGGCAUGUCCACACCGCGAAUGCUGAAAGGUCCUGGACACCCAAGCAUGGCCUGGGCUUUCAACACUUAAGUAGGUCAGGGCUUUCAGCUCUGACUCUGGCUCUGAUCCUAACCUUACGCAUGGACUGCCAUCCCACAUGCUUGGAAUCCACCCUCCCAUCACCUCUACCUUCAGAAUGCUCCCAGGAGCGAUGUUGGAGAUCUGUUUCCAGGAGACAGGAUCUCCUGGCGUCUCCCACAUUUGAUCUGGGCUCGCACCACGGGCUCACUAAACAUUGAUGUGGACAUGUGUUCUCCUCCCCACCCCCAUCCCUGCCACAGAACUUAAACUCUUUGAAAUCAAAGAAUGAUUCAUCUUUGUCUUGUCUCCCCAGUACAAUGUGUGGCACAUAUUAGCUACUGAAUAAAUCCUCCAUGAAUGGAUGAAUUAAUAAAAAGUCAA